This 107-nucleotide small RNA is filed under the name Marmota monax (woodchuck). Lineage: Eukaryota; Metazoa; Chordata; Mammalia; Rodentia; Sciuridae. The record is from RNAcentral.
GCUGGGCGCUGUGGUGCAUGCCUAUAAUCCCAGCAACUGGGGAGGCUGAGACAGGAGAAUUGCAUGUUUGAGACUAGGCCCAGCAACUUAGCAAGAUCCUGUCUCAA